AGUGAACGCUGGCGGUAGGCCUAACACAUGCAAGUCGAACGGCAGCACAGUAAGAGCUUGCUCUUACGGGUGGCGAGUGGCGGACGGGUGAGGAAUACAUCGGAAUCUACUUUUUCGUGGGGGAUAACGUAGGGAAACUUACGCUAAUACCGCAUACGACCUACGGGUGAAAGCAGUGGAACUUCGGGCCUUGCGCGAAUGAAUGAGCCGAUGUCGGAUUAGCUAGUUGGCGGGGUAAAGGCCAACCAAGUCGACGAUCCGUAGCUGGUCUGAGAGGAUGAUCAGCCACACUGGAACUGAGACACGGUCCAGAGUCCUACGGGAGGCAGCAGUGGGGAAUAUUGGACAAUGGGCGCAAGCAUGAUCCAGCCAUACCGCGUGGGUGACGAAGGCCUUCGGGUUGUAAAGACCUUUUGUUGGGAAAGAAAAGCAGCAGGUUAAUACCCCGCUGUUCUGACGGUACCCAAAGAAUAAGCACCGGCUAACUUCGUG
Molecule: ribosomal RNA, 492 nt
Filed under: uncultured bacterium
Lineage: Bacteria
Description: partial 16S ribosomal RNA
Rfam family: Bacterial small subunit ribosomal RNA
Source: RNAcentral